RNAcentral lists this ribosomal RNA (1112 nucleotides) under Vibrio sp. 8111M. RNAcentral's name for it is "bacterial SSU rRNA". It matches the Rfam family "Bacterial small subunit ribosomal RNA", at positions 378 to 1484 of the family's 1533-position model. The record is from RNAcentral. Lineage: Bacteria; Pseudomonadati; Pseudomonadota; Gammaproteobacteria; Vibrionales; Vibrionaceae.
CGAGCCUGAUGCGCCAUGCCGCGUGUAUGAAGAAGGCCUUCGGGUUGUAAAGUACUUUCAGUUGUGAGGAAGGGGGUAACGUUAAUAGCGCUAUCUCUUGACGUUAGCAACAGAAGAAGCACCGGCUAACUCCGUGCCAGCAGCCGCGGUAAUACGGAGGGUGCGAGCGUUAAUCGGAAUUACUGGGCGUAAAGCGCAUGCAGGUGGUUCAUUAAGUCAGAUGUGAAAGCCCGGGGCUCAACCUCGGAACUGCAUUUGAAACUGGUGAACUAGAGUACUGUAGAGGGGGGUAGAAUUUCAGGUGUAGCGGUGAAAUGCGUAGAGAUCUGAAGGAAUACCAGUGGCGAAGGCGGCCCCCUGGACAGAUACUGACACUCAGAUGCGAAAGCGUGGGGAGCAAACAGGAUUAGAUACCCUGGUAGUCCACGCCGUAAACGAUGUCUACUUGGAGGUUGUGGCCUUGAGCCGUGGCUUUCGGAGCUAACGCGUUAAGUAGACCGCCUGGGGAGUACGGUCGCAAGAUUAAAACUCAAAUGAAUUGACGGGGGCCCGCACAAGCGGUGGAGCAUGUGGUUUAAUUCGAUGCAACGCGAAGAACCUUACCUACUCUUGACAUCCAGAGAAGCCAGCGGAGACGCAGGUGUGCCUUCGGGAGCUCUGAGACAGGUGCUGCAUGGCUGUCGUCAGCUCGUGUUGUGAAAUGUUGGGUUAAGUCCCGCAACGAGCGCAACCCUUAUCCUUGUUUGCCAGCGAGUAAUGUCGGGAACUCCAGGGAGACUGCCGGUGAUAAACCGGAGGAAGGUGGGGACGACGUCAAGUCAUCAUGGCCCUUACGAGUAGGGCUACACACGUGCUACAAUGGCGCAUACAGAGGGCAGCAAGCCAGCGAUGGUAAGCGAAUCCCAAAAAGUGCGUCGUAGUCCGGAUUGGAGUCUGCAACUCGACUCCAUGAAGUCGGAAUCGCUAGUAAUCGUAGAUCAGAAUGCUACGGUGAAUACGUUCCCGGGCCUUGUACACACCGCCCGUCACACCAUGGGAGUGGGCUGCAAAAGAAGUGGGUAGUUUAACCUUUCGGGGAGGACGCUCACCACUUUGUGGUCAUGAUGGGGGAC